UUGCCAGAUGCUGUCCUGUUGGAAAUUCUUCUUUACGUGAUCCUGGAGGAGGGUGAUGCUACAUUAAGUCCGUCUUUGGUUUGUUCCAAAUCCAGAAGUCUGUUGUACUGUAUACAGACUCCUUUCGAAAGGGGGCACAAUCCAGCUUGCUUGACUGAGUAUCUUUUACAUAUUUGAUUAGAGGUUUAAAAAGGUGGAACAAAAUGGACAACAAGUCUGAGCCAUGUCAGGAAUUCAACAAAAUGUACACCCUGCAGACACUGCGACGAGGUUUACAACAACUGCUUACCAGGUCACUGCAGUCACCCGGAUCGAGUACGUAUCCAGACCAGAUGGUGGAUCGCACCUAGAAAGAACCUCUACUGCCCUGAAAGACAGCGGAGACCAGGACAACUAGAGCCCCACAUACAGAUCCCCUGUAAAGACCUUGUUUUUUCUCCAUUUUGUCACCGGUGGAGUUUUGGUUCGUUGUCGCCUCUGGCUUGCUUCGUUGUGGUCACUUCAUUUACAGUGAUAUCAUUGACAUGAUUGCAAGCGAUUCCACAGAUACUAUUUAAACUGAACCGAGCUGAAGGAUGACAUCACUGAAUUGAAUGAUAAACUGUCUUUUAAACUGACUACAAACUGAGUUUACUAAUGUCCUUCUGCAUUAUUGACUGAUACACUAUUUUCCUAUUUAAUACUGUAAAGUUGCUUUGCUUUGAUCUGUAUUAUUAAAAGCACUAUAUAAAUAAACGAUGCUUGACUUGACCAUGUUGCAAGAGGAAAAUGAGGGGAGAUGCACAUCCACCCUGGGAUUUACAGUGAUUGGUGCAAGAUGCUGGAGAAGUAACUCCAUCAGAACUCAUCAGUGCUGAUCUAAGAGUCUUGAAAAUCCCUCCGGAUUGUUGUUAGUGAUUCUGAUUGAUAUUUUAGUCUGCUUGCUUACUGGAUAUAUUUUGUACUGUUUACAUUGUAAAGCACUGACUUUGACAACUUACUAACCCAGUUACAAAUUUAACAGCUACUUUAUACUAUAUAUAUAUAUAUAUAUAUAUAGUUGU
Carassius gibelio (silver crucian carp) is the source of this 1043-nucleotide long non-coding RNA. RefSeq lists it as uncharacterized. The transcript has 3 exons. The record is from RefSeq and is a predicted model, not a curated record. Lineage: Eukaryota; Metazoa; Chordata; Actinopteri; Cypriniformes; Cyprinidae.